UUACAGAGUGAAACAGAACUUCGGUUUUGCCUUUGCUGGAUACUGAUCUGAUCGUCUCAAGUCUGAGUGAACAGAUCUUUGGUUUUGCCUUUGCUGGUGACCUGCUGCAGAA
Pelmatolapia mariae (spotted tilapia) is the source of this 112-nucleotide long non-coding RNA. RefSeq lists it as uncharacterized. The record is from RefSeq and is a predicted model, not a curated record. The transcript is spliced from 4 exons. Lineage: Eukaryota; Metazoa; Chordata; Actinopteri; Cichliformes; Cichlidae.